RNAcentral lists this long non-coding RNA (892 nucleotides) under Anser brachyrhynchus (Pink-footed goose). RNAcentral's name for it is "lncRNA (ENSABRG00000009213.1)". Lineage: Eukaryota; Metazoa; Chordata; Aves; Anseriformes; Anatidae. The record is from RNAcentral.
AAAAAAAAAAGCUGAAAAGUAGCACAGCCCCUUGCCAGUCAAUUCAUCCCAACUGAGGGCCUGCACCUUUUCUUUUCAGUGGAGUAUCGGUUAUGGACAGAUUGCGAGUUACAGCCGAAGGCAGUAUGACAGCUUUAUUGCUGCUGCGUGAGCAACAUUUUCUUUGAUUGGGAAACAGGCUGAGGACUUGCAGAAAGCUUCAGAGAAAACUGAAUGAAGAAACUGUGUAUAAUACAGCCUGUCAGAAAAUACAUUCUCAAGUGACCGACAGGAGGGGAAUUAGGACUUGCAUCUCAAACAGACAUCCUGAAUGCUCUAUCCAGCUGUACAAACAAUUGCACAGGACCUUGUCCCAGGUAGGGAUGAAGCAAUGCAGAAAGUAGAGACCUUCUUGCUGACUUAAGAGAGUUUCCAAACAAGCACAAGCAGCUCAGCAUAUUUUUCAGACCUGCAGCCUAGAUAGAGACAUUUGCAAAUUGCUUUGUUUUGCCCUGUAUGUGAUGUUGGCUUACCUGAUGUAAAAAAUGUGGCUCAUCUGGAUUUCAGCUAUAUUCUGUCCACCCAGGGUCCAAACCAGAAAAACUUGAUUAUGGCGCUACUUGCAUCUGAUCCAUUCCGAACCAAAGGAAUAGGUUUAUUUUUGAGAAGACCUUAUAUAAAGACACUGCCUUCAAGAAGAAACAUUGGAAUUUUAGGGCUAUUUGAAACAGUGUGUAAGCAUAUGUUGUAUGUCAUGACUAUGCUGCCUAACAUGCAGUUGGAUGAAAAGCACUUGAAGUAUCUUUGGACCGAACCCACAAUAAAGCUCUCCAAUACUUCAGUGGAUGUAGUGCAUGUGAAGCUAUUUCAGAAUGAAGCCCAUAAUCCUGGACCUCUUUUCAUGGGAGGCUGA